Molecule: long non-coding RNA, 684 nt
Organism: Oncorhynchus tshawytscha (Chinook salmon)
Lineage: Eukaryota; Metazoa; Chordata; Actinopteri; Salmoniformes; Salmonidae
Exons: 4
Source: RefSeq, a predicted model, not a curated record
AAGGGCUCUGGUGACGAUACCAUUCAGGAGCCGGAGCAAUAAAUGAGCGAGUUGGACGCCACAUAAGCACUGAGUUUUUUAAAAGACACACAGACUAUGGAGCGCAGCCAAAAUGCCAGGAACAAAAGGCAACAAAUCUGACAAGAAAUCAGCUACCAAGCAACCUCAGAGUCCUAAGGAGCAACCGAAGAAAGCUGAUCAGAAAGGAGAUAACAAAAAGCAAGGAGGACAGCCGAAGGGAGAGAAGCAAUAAUUUCCAGGUAUUUGUAAAGAUGGCUCUGGAGACUCUGCUGGGAUCCUGCCAUCACAAGCAUGGGGGUCCUCGGGGUAGACAAGGCUGAAGAACCUCCCUUGGACCUGCAGACAGGCCAUCGCUACACAACUACACUCAUCUCUUCUCACAAGGGCAGAAAGUGACCCACAUUUCCAUCCAUCAGUGAUCCACUGGGUAUGCCCUUUCUUCCCACCCUGUUUCCCCUCCCUCAGUCUGCUCUGGAUUGUAGGAAGCUUGGAAAUGGAUGGUCACGAGGUCAAACUCAACCAAUGAUCUGAGCUUCCCGAGAAACUGAAACCUUCAUCUACCCAAUUGUUCCCUCUCUUCCCACCCAAAGUUCCUUAUUUUGAUCAACUAACAGUCCAAACCAUUCUUGUAAAUAAGCAAAUAAACUAUUAUUUCCUAAAACA